AUGUUAUUUAAAAUCGUAUAUCUGCAACUGAUUUGCAGUUUAUUAAUCGCACGGCAGCCUGUUAAUUUUACCAUUACUCAGGUCAAUAAUAGUUACCGAGUGUGAAUAUAACGAUGCGAGAAUUGACACAUUACUUGAUUGGGUAAAACUGUUUACUCUAUCUACCUCUAAAGUGUUUUGAACGUGUGCAAAGAUGGUUGUUGCUUCGUUGCUUGUGGAAGACUUUCAUAUUAUGGGCUAAGACAAGUCAUAAUAAAGCGUUGGCAAAUACAAAUUAAAUACGCCAAGGUCCCAUACAAAAUGGUAAUCAUUUCAUGGCUCACCAAGGAGGCGAAUUAAACAACCCAAUUCGUCUUAACAAGUAAAAGUCGUCGGAAAAAAACGAAACUGGCAUCGCUACCUGAUCAAAGUGUGCUUUUUGCUUUAAUUUUUUUUCAGUUUAUUCAUGUGAUUAGUGAAGGUUUGGCCUGGUUCAAUAGAUGUGCAACCCAAACGUCUCCAAUCUGAUCAGGCAGGAUGCGGUUAACUAAAUUGUUAGUUUGCAGACGCUCUAAAUGUACGCUAAAGCAGUUUUCACCAAUAAAUCCAGGAAAUAGAGGCGAUGAAUGGAUGUACACUGAGAGCUAACACUCGUGGCGUUCCGUCCGUUCCGGCGCAUACUCCAUAUACGUUUUUAUAUCAUUUUCCGAAGAAAUUUCAACUUGAGCAUGCAUUGAGGUCUUGGAACGUUUGUUUCACGAUAAAUGGCUUUUUUAAAUUAUCUAAA
Molecule: long non-coding RNA, 766 nt
Organism: Topomyia yanbarensis
Lineage: Eukaryota; Metazoa; Arthropoda; Insecta; Diptera; Culicidae
Exons: 3
Source: RefSeq, a predicted model, not a curated record